Non-coding RNA from Lactuca sativa (garden lettuce), 5395 nucleotides. The record is from RefSeq and is a predicted model, not a curated record. Lineage: Eukaryota; Viridiplantae; Streptophyta; Magnoliopsida; Asterales; Asteraceae.
CUACCAUUAGCCACCACCAAUCACCACCACCCCUACCACCAUAACCCGCCACCACCACUGCCAACACCACCAUUUCUACUGCCACAACUACAACCCGCUACCAAGACCACCACCGUUUCCACCACCAUUACCAUCGCCAAUACCUUCGCUUCCACCACCAUCGCCACCCCCACCACCAUUACCACUACAUACCGCCACCCACCACUUACCACCGCCUAAAUUUCAUAUUUUUUAAUUAAUAUAAUAUAUAAUUACAUAUAAGUUAGAAAACAAGGGAAAUUUUUGUCAUUUUAUAUGGAUCCCAAUUUCAUUUUCUAUGUACCAAACCAAACAUAAUUUGAAACUGCUUCUAAUUUCAUUUCCUGUCAACCAAACAACAAACAAGAUAUAAAAUUUAAUUUAAAUUCCUAACCGAUUUCUUUUCCAAUUUCAAUUGUAUUUCGAUUUUGAAAUAUUGUGAACCAAGCAAAAGCUAGGAUCAAGUUUUUACUUGAAGAAGAUUUGGGUCGGUGUGUUUUAUUCUAUAUAGAUUUGGUAUUAUUAAAAAAAAAUAGAGGAAGGGAAAAAUAGUUGUAUCUUUGAUUCUCUAACAUCUUCUUUUAGCUGUUCACAUAUAACCAAGACAGCUGACGUUGCCGACAGUACUCCUGAUGCUCCAUUACUACGGUUCUUGAAGGCAUACGAUUCUUUUCUAGCUCGGGACAGCUGACGUUGCAGCGGUCUAGGCAGCUGAGUCGCGUGCAUCUAACAACAUCGCUGGAGUCGAGUAACAAAUCAUGUGGGUUUUCAGCUGUGGUGGAUGCUAUGUUUUUUUCAGGAGACUGCAUGGCUUGAAAUUAUUGGUCGACCGUCGACGCCCUUAUUCCAGAUCAGUUUCUGUGAAUUGCUUAUUUUUGGGUUAGGUUUCUUGAAGGUGUUCCAAUAAUGGAUUGGCUCUGCGACUCCUUAGAUGAGGGUGAUUUGAACUACUCAAACGGGCAUUAUGAGGUGAUGUUUGAAAAUUAUUUUUUUUAUUGAUUAAGCCCAACAUACAACCAAUCUUGCUAUUGUCAAACUUGCAAAUGAUAAGCAAGAAGCCCCAAUCAAUGUUUUUGUUUUAUCUAUGCUUAAAUGGUUUUUAUCUCCUUCUCCCCCACUUGCGUUGAGUUCUUUUGUGGGUGUUUUUGUUUAGGUUUAACAAUCGCCGACUCCAAUGAAAUCACAGGGGACCAUGUCUCCAUCCAUAAUUGAUCGGGACAAGGAAGAGGCAAACGGAGCAGCAGGGAGAAUGGGCAAAAUCCUGGUGAGCCUCCAAGGUUUCUCUCACGCUGUCGAUGGUCACAAUCCACAGGAAGAAACAGCAGUUCAAAGAUAGAUCUAAGAAAAGAGCAAGAUCGGAAGCAGGAAGCCAACGACAAUGGCUUGAUGAGGGUUAUACGGUCAUGAGGAGGGGGAAUCGACUUCUCUGGUGAGCUCCUCUUGAUCCCUUUUGCUUCUUUGCCGGUAACGAGCCGACAGAGAGCAAUAAUAACAUCAGUAAAUUUUUAGGGUGGGUUGGGUGGUUCUGAUCGGGGAAACGCGUGGGGUCGUGAAGGUGAUAGCAGUCGGUACCUCCGACUGUUCUUCUUGGGUUCUUUCUCAGAUACUUCUUGCAACAAAACAGUAAGGAGGAGGGUGGCUGCAAACGCCGAUCAAUGGGGUGUUUGGGAUUGUGCUUCUCCAAUUGGAGGAGGAAUGGUCUCGGGGGUUUAGUAGAUCGCGACUUAAGGGGUUUUGCUCCGAUCGGUAAUUGGUUCUCUUCCGUUUUCCUUUCGUUUGACUGUUUGAUAGGAAUAAUUUGGGUGUUUGGGUUUGCUUGGGUUGUUUCUUGAGUUCACAUGGGAAAAUAGAAGAUAUAAUGGAAGGGUUGCUGCUCCUGAGCUUACCAGGUACCCAUAAGAAAACCACCUCCAAUGGAGGUGUUCUUGGUUGUGCAUCGAAAUAGAAAGAAAUAAGAGAAGGAGAAAGGUUGUCAUGGCCUAUGGGAUGGAAGAAGAAGGACCAGCAUCAAUGGUAUUCAGGGGGCUGUUUAUUUGCUUUGAUUGAUAGGUAGAGAAGAAGGAAAACAUUUUUGAUGUCCCUCUUGUUUUUAUAGAAAUGAGCUCCUCCUAUGGAGGACUUUGACAGUCAAUGAGAGAGAGACCCUUGCAUAUUAUUUCAUUUUUGAGAAAACAUCAUAAACGGUCCCUAUGGUAUUGAAAUGAUGAAAAUGCGUUGCAGUUAACAGAUAAAACUUAACGGAGUUAGGGAUAAGGACCAACUAUCAAAAGUUUUGAAAGCACAGGGACCACCUAUGACGUUUCUAAACCAUGGGGACUAAACUUCAGAUUUUGGGAAACCACAGGGACCAUUUAUGAUGUUUUUCUCUUAUUAAUUUCUUUUAACUAUUUUUUAAAAUUUUUUUAUUGGAUUACUUAUUAAAAAAAUUAUUAUAUUUUUUAUUGGAUUAUUACAUUUAAUUUAUUAUAUUCUAUAUAUAAUAAAUACUAUUUUUGUGGAUCAUUAAUUUUUUUUAAAUGUAUAUUAUUAAUUUUUUUAAUUUAUUGGUUCUACCACAAAGUCUUUGGAAUACGCAAAAGCACCGCAUCCCAUUGUCGAAAAUCAUAAGGACCACCACUAAUCACCUUCAUCGGAGGUCUAACAAAAACACUGUUGGAUUAAGUGUCUAAGCCCAUAACUAUAAUUGGUAUGUAGUUGACCCGAGAGUAGCAUUAUCCAUUUGGGUUGCAUAUCACCAGGACAAUUUCAUAGGAUGGACUUUUGAGAAGAGGUUAUUUAUGAUUUGUUAAUAUAUUAUAAGUUCAAAUAUAUUAAUAUGAAAUCAUAUGAUUUAAUUAGUAUUGAUCAAGAAUUAGAAAAAAAUUGCAAAAAUGGUCCCUGUGGUUGGCAAAAUUAUGUAGUUUUGGUCCAAAACGAAAUGGUGGUGCACCACUGGUCCAAUUUUAGAUACCUUAUGUGAUUUUGGUCCCUAUGGUUGUAUUUUCUUGUGUUUUGGGCCACAUCCCACCUAAAAUGACUAAGAUGCCCCUUAAAUAAAUAUAUUUUAAUUUCUUUUAUUUAUUUUCUUAUACUUAUAAUAAAAUGAAAACAAAAACAAAAUAAACCCACCUCUCUCUCUCUCUCUCGCCUGCUUCCUUUCAUCUUCAUCAGAUAGAUCAAACGGGAAUAUGUGGGAAAACAAGUCCGUUCAUCCUGAAACUAUACAAUGAACACAAGAACCCACCCACAAUUUCAACCAGAUUCGUUACCAAUCGUGAUUUUCAAGUUUGAGAUUUAACAAAUAUCGAGACCCAUCAUUGGGUCUCUUGGUCUCAGCCUGUUUCUUCGUCCUUUGUCAUGAACCACCGGCUGUAUUGGUGCUUCGGUGAGCCAUCGAGACAGCAACCUCACCUCUCGCACAUCUCUUCUUCUUCCGUCAAAGCAAAUGCCACUGAACCACCUACGACAUUUGUUUCUCGUCUGAACUCUUUUCUAGCCUCCUUCCCUUCGAAACCCCUAGCUAUACUGAGCCCCCCUUCCUUCGCAUCCUUCUUCCGAGACAAAAGAGCACAAGAGUUGCUCCAGUAUCCAUUGUUGCCCUCGCUUCAUCCUCCGCUUUGGAUGAGUAAAACACCGAGAGGCGGCGAUUUCUCUUCACGAUGAAAGAUAAGAGGUGACGACCUCUUGUGUUGCUCGCUCCUACUCACGAAUUCGGCCACUGGACCAUCAAUCGACCUUGGGGCUGUUCCCAUUCGUAUUUCUUUUUCUCCAUCAGACGAGGAUCUUCAUAAUUUUGUGUAUAUUGUGUGUGUGUGUGUGUUUAAGAAGAUGAAGUUAAAGAACCCAAAUGAAGAUUUAGAGAGAGAGAGAGAGAGCAAGAGAGAGAGAGAGAGUGUGUGUGUGUGUGGUGGGUUUUUUUAGUUUGAAUAAAAAUAUAUAUAAAAAAUGGAAAAACAAAUUAUAAGGGCAUAUUGGUCUUUUUAAGUAGAUAGGGACCAAAAACAAUAGAAACAUCCAAUUUUGGACUAGUGGUGCACCAACAUUUCGUUUUGGACCAAAAGCACAUAAAAUUGCCAACCAUAUGGACCAUUUAUGCAAUUUUGUCUCAAGAAUUAAUUUGGAAUUAAUUUUCUGAUAAAAAAGGACUAAUUAAAUAUAUGAGGAUUGAUUUGGUAAAUCAAUAAUUCUUAUAGUCUGAGCCAAUUGUUAUUUAGGAUGGGCUAAACCUAUAUGGUAGUCUAUGGAGGUUUAACCCAUGGAUCCUAGGUAAUAUAAGAGUCAUGGACAUUAGAGAUUACAUGGUGCUAACCCUAAUCUUGUCACACUAUAUAAGAAGCCCCUUAGCAUCCAAAAUCGUUCAAGCCUAUUUGAGUGUAAGAAUAUUUUCUCAAAAGUCAUUCUUUGUCCAAAGGUGUGAUAUGAUUCAAUUUGAGGUACAACACUUAGGGAACUAAGUUCUUAAGGCCAAACACAACAAGUUCUACAAGCCACAACCAAGAGGUAACUCCAUAACUCAAUGUUAUGUUGUUUAUAUCAUCCUUUGUGUACUCAUGUCUUGGAGAUGAACUCACAUAUUAACAGGCUGAGAGUAUUGGGUGUCGUUGUCUCAAGGAAGUUGGCUGUUGACUGGGUUCUUCAAUCACUUCCCGAGUCAUAUAGUGAGUUCAUUAAAGACUACUACGUGACAGAUCACGACUGACCCUUAUUGAUCUUACCUAUUUGCUUGUUGCUGCUGAAUCAACAAUGAUUUGGCGCACUAGAAAAGGAAAUUUGAUUGGAGGAUCCACUUCUCAAACUUCCAUGGACAUUGACAAUGGUAACAUUGGAAGUCCAGAAAAGAUUUCUUUUUCUAAUGGAAAUGGAUCGGCCGUAGUCAACCCGGUUGACCAAAUGGGACAUCAGAAGUGAAGCUGCCCUGACUACCAGAAAGAUCUGAAAGAAGGUAGAAUCAAAAAGUUUGACUCUGCUUCAGGAUCAUACAAAAGGAAAGAAGCUGAAAGGAAGAGUAUGUUAAAUCUGGUGGCGAAGAUGGAUUUCAAUCGCAUGGUUCGAUUGAGGAACUGACAGGGGUGUUUGGGCUGGACUUCUUGGUGCUUCAAAUAGUGAUGGUUCUAGUGGAAAACGAUCGACAUAGUAGCAAAUAUAAAAGAUUAUGAUGGAUUGUGAAGAGGUUGUCGCAGGUGGCUACUAGAUAGUGGCGUUGGGUGAAACAUGUUGGUAGUGUUUCUGUCGGACCUCCGAUGAAGGUGAUUAGUGGUGGUCCUAACGAUUUUUGACAAUAGGAUGCGGUGCUUUUGCGUAUUCCGAAGACUUUGUGGUAGAACCAAUAAAUUAACAAGAAUUAAUAAUAUACAUUUAAAAAAAAUUAAUGAUCCACAAAAAUAUUGUUUAUUAUAUA